UAAUUUUUAUGGAGAGUUUGAUCCUGGCUCAGGAUGAACGCUGGCGGCGUGCCUAAUACAUGCAAGUCGAGCGAACGGACGAGAAGCUUGCUUCUCUGAUGUUAGCGGCGGACGGGUGAGUAACACGUGGAUAACCUACCUAUAAGACUGGGAUAACUUCGGGAAACCGGAGCUAAUACCGGAUAAUAUUUUGAACCGCAUGGUUCAAAAGUAAAAGACGGUCUUGCUGUCACUUAUAGAUGGAUCCGCGCUGCAUUAGCUAGUUGGUAAGGUAACGGCUUACCAAGGCAACGAUGCAUAGCCGACCUGAGAGGGUGAUCGGCCACACUGGAACUGAGACACGGUCCAGACUCCUACGGGAGGCAGCAGUAGGGAAUCUUCCGCAAUGGGCGAAAGCCUGACGGAGCAACGCCGCGUGAGUGAUGAAGGUCUUCGGAUCGUAAAACUCUGUUAUUAGGGAAGAACAUAUGUGUAAGUAACUGUGCACAUCUUGACGGUACCUAAUCAGAAAGCCACGGCUAACUACGUGCCAGCAGCCGCGGUAAUACGUAGGUGGCAAGCGUUAUCCGGAAUUAUUGGGCGUAAAGCGCGCGUAGGCGGUUUUUUAAGUCUGAUGUGAAAGCCCACGGCUCAACCGUGGAGGGUCAUUGGAAACUGGAAAACUUGAGUGCAGAAGAGGAAAGUGGAAUUCCAUGUGUAGCGGUGAAAUGCGCAGAGAUAUGGAGGAACACCAGUGGCGAAGGCGACUUUCUGGUCUGUAACUGACGCUGAUGUGCGAAAGCGUGGGGAUCAAACAGGAUUAGAUACCCUGGUAGUCCACGCCGUAAACGAUGAGUGCUAAGUGUUAGGGGGUUUCCGCCCCUUAGUGCUGCAGCUAACGCAUUAAGCACUCCGCCUGGGGAGUACGACCGCAAGGUUGAAACUCAAAGGAAUUGACGGGGACCCGCACAAGCGGUGGAGCAUGUGGUUUAAUUCGAAGCAACGCGAAGAACCUUACCAAAUCUUGACAUCCUUUGACAACUCUAGAGAUAGAGCCUUCCCCUUCGGGGGACAAAGUGACAGGUGGUGCAUGGUUGUCGUCAGCUCGUGUCGUGAGAUGUUGGGUUAAGUCCCGCAACGAGCGCAACCCUUAAGCUUAGUUGCCAUCAUUAAGUUGGGCACUCUAAGUUGACUGCCGGUGACAAACCGGAGGAAGGUGGGGAUGACGUCAAAUCAUCAUGCCCCUUAUGAUUUGGGCUACACACGUGCUACAAUGGACAAUACAAAGGGCAGCGAAACCGCGAGGUCAAGCAAAUCCCAUAAAGUUGUUCUCAGUUCGGAUUGUAGUCUGCAACUCGACUACAUGAAGCUGGAAUCGCUAGUAAUCGUAGAUCAGCAUGCUACGGUGAAUACGUUCCCGGGUCUUGUACACACCGCCCGUCACACCACGAGAGUUUGUAACACCCGAAGCCGGUGGAGUAACCUUUUAGGAGCUAGCCGUCGAAGGUGGGACAAAUGAUUGGGGUGAAGUCGUAACAAGGUAGCCGUAUCGGAAGGUGCGGCUGGAUCACCUCCUUUCUAAG
RNAcentral lists this ribosomal RNA (1562 nucleotides) under Staphylococcus aureus subsp. aureus ST228. Its description in RNAcentral is "SSU ribosomal RNA". It matches the Rfam family "Bacterial small subunit ribosomal RNA". The record is from RNAcentral. Lineage: Bacteria; Bacillati; Bacillota; Bacilli; Caryophanales; Staphylococcaceae.